This 443-nucleotide ribosomal RNA is filed under the name uncultured bacterium. RNAcentral's name for it is "partial 16S ribosomal RNA". It matches the Rfam family "Bacterial small subunit ribosomal RNA", at positions 338 to 795 of the family's 1533-position model. The record is from RNAcentral.
CCUACGGGAGGCUGCAGUGGGGAAUAUUGGACAAUGGGCGGAAGCCUGAUCCAGCGACGCCGCGUGAGGGAAGAAGGCUUUCGGGAUGUAAAGCUCUUUUAGCAGGGACGAAAGAAGUGACGGUACCUGACUAAGAAGCCCCGGCUAACUACGUGCCAGCAGCCGCGGUAAUACGUAGGGGGCAAGCGUUAUCCGGAUUUACUGGGUGUCAAGGGUGCGUAGACGUGGAUGCAAGUCAGAAGUGAAAUGCGCGGGCCCAACCGCCGGACUGCAUUUGAUACUGUAUUGCGUGAGUGCAGGAGAGGGAAGUGGAAUUCCGAGUGUAGCGGUGAAAUGCGUAGAUAUUAGGAGGAACACCAGUGGCGAAGGCGGCUUACUGGACUGCAACUGACGUUGAGGCGCGAAAGCGUGGGGAGCAAACAGGAUUAGAUACCCGUGUAGUC